GGUUUUAUAUUCAAUGAUGAUAUUAGAAUGCAAUUCUAAAGGAAUAGAUUAUCUAUUAAGACUU
RNAcentral lists this transfer RNA (64 nucleotides) under Lamproblatta sp. LA male. RNAcentral describes it as "tRNA-Cys". The record is from RNAcentral. Lineage: Eukaryota; Metazoa; Arthropoda; Insecta; Blattodea; Lamproblattidae.